Molecule: ribosomal RNA, 294 nt
Filed under: uncultured bacterium
Lineage: Bacteria
Description: partial 16S ribosomal RNA
Rfam family: Archaeal small subunit ribosomal RNA
Source: RNAcentral
GUGCCAGCCCGCCGCGGUAAUACCGGCAGCCCGAGUGAUGGCCGAUUUUAUUGGGCCUAAAGCGUCCGUAGCUGGCUGCGCAAGUCCGUCGGGAAAUCCACGUGCUCAACGCGUGGGCGUCCGGCGGAAACCACUCGGCUUGGGGCCGGAAGACUCGAGGGGUACGUCUGGGGUAGGAGUGAAAUCCCGUAAUCCUGGACGGACCGCCGACGGCGAAAGCACCUCGAGAAGACGGACCCGACGGUGAGGGACGAAAGCCAGGGUCUCGAACCGGAUUAGAAACCCUAGUAGUCC